Molecule: ribosomal RNA, 1029 nt
Filed under: Salmonella enterica subsp. enterica serovar Cotham
Lineage: Bacteria; Pseudomonadati; Pseudomonadota; Gammaproteobacteria; Enterobacterales; Enterobacteriaceae
Description: partial 23S ribosomal RNA
Rfam family: Bacterial large subunit ribosomal RNA
Source: RNAcentral
UAACGAUUGACGGAGCGAAGCGACGUCAAAGCGUUCAUUAAAGUCGAGUUGGCUUAGGGAUACGUUCGUUGGGUAGGGGAGCGUUCUGUAAGCCUGUGAAGGUGGCCUGUGAGGGUUGCUGGAGGUAUCAGAAGUGCGAAUGCUGACAUAAGUAACGAUAAAGCGGGUGAAAAGCCCGCUCGCCGGAAGACCAAGGGUUCCUGUCCAACGUUAAUCGGGGCAGGGUGAGUCGACCCCUAAGGCGAGGCCGAAAGGCGUAGUCGAUGGGAAACGGGUUAAUAUUCCCGUACUUGGUGUUACUGCGAAGGGGGGACGGAGAAGGCUAUGUUGGCCGGGCGACGGUUGUCCCGGUUUAAGCGUGUAGGUGUGUGUUCCAGGUAAAUCCGGUUCACUUUAACACUGAGGCGUGAUGACGAGGCACUACGGUGCUGAAGCAACAAAUGCCCUGCUUCCAGGAAAAGCCUCUAAGCAUCAGGUAACAUCAAAUCGUACCCCAAACCGACACAGGUGGUCAGGUAGAGAAUACCAAGGCGCUUGAGAGAACUCGGGUGAAGGAACUAGGCAAAAUGGUGCCGUAACUUCGGGAGAAGGCACGCUGACACGUAGGUGAAGUGAUUUACUCAUGGAGCUGAAGUCAGUCGAAGAUACCAGCUGGCUGCAACUGUUUAUUAAAAACACAGCACUGUGCAAACACGAAAGUGGACGUAUACGGUGUGACGCCUGCCCGGUGCCGGAAGGUUAAUUGAUGGGGUCAGCGCAAGCGAAGCUCCUGAUCGAAGCCCCGGUAAACGGCGGCCGUAACUAUAACGGUCCUAAGGUAGCGAAAUUCCUUGUCGGGUAAGUUCCGACCUGCACGAAUGGCGUAAUGAUGGCCAGGCUGUCUCCACCCGAGACUCAGUGAAAUUGAACUCGCUGUGAAGAUGCAGUGUACCCGCGGCAAGACGGAAAGACCCCGUGAACCUUUACUAUAGCUUGACACUGAACAUUGAGCCUUGAUGUGUAGGAUAGGUGGGAGGCUUUGAAGUGUGG